GCCCAGAUAGCUCAGUCGGUAGAGCAACGGACUGAAAAUCCGUGUGUCGGUGGUUCGAAUCCGCCUCUGGGCACCA
This 76-nucleotide transfer RNA is filed under the name Hyphomonadaceae bacterium. Its description in RNAcentral is "tRNA-Phe". It matches the Rfam family "tRNA". From Rfam's summary of the family: Transfer RNA (tRNA) molecules are approximately 80 nucleotides in length. Their secondary structure includes four short double-helical elements and three loops (D, anti-codon, and T loops). Further hydrogen bonds mediate the characteristic L-shaped molecular structure. tRNAs have two regions of fundamental functional importance: the anti-codon, which is responsible for specific mRNA codon recognition, and the 3' end, to which the tRNAs corresponding amino acid is attached (by aminoacyl-tRNA synthetases). tRNAs cope with the degeneracy of the genetic code in two manners: having more than one tRNA (with a specific anti-codon) for a particular amino acid; and 'wobble' base-pairing, i.e. permitting non-standard base-pairing at the 3rd anti-codon position. Lineage: Bacteria; Pseudomonadati; Pseudomonadota; Alphaproteobacteria; Hyphomonadales; Hyphomonadaceae. The record is from RNAcentral.